AGAGCGAACGCUGGCGGCAGGCUUAACACAUGCAAGUCGAGCGGGCGUAGCAAUACGUCAGCGGCAGACGGGUGAGUAACGCGUGGGAACGUACCUUUUGGUUCGGAACAACCCAGGGAAACUUGGACUAAUACCGGAUAAGCCCUUACGGGGAAAGAUUUAUCGCCGAAAGAUCGGCCCGCGUCUGAUUAGCUAGUUGGUGAGGUAAUGGCUCACCAAGGCGACGAUCAGUAGCUGGUCUGAGAGGAUGAUCAGCCACAUUGGGACUGAGACACGGCCCAAACUCCUACGGGAGGCAGCAGUGGGAAUAUGGACAAUGGGCGCAAGCCUGAUCCAGCCAUGCCGCGUGAGUGAUGAAGGCCCUAGGGUUGUAAAGCUCUUUGUGCGGGAAGAUAAUGACGGUACCGCAAGAAUAAGCCCCGGCUAACUUCGUGCCAGCAGCCGC
Molecule: ribosomal RNA, 445 nt
Filed under: uncultured bacterium
Lineage: Bacteria
Description: SSU rRNA
Rfam family: Bacterial small subunit ribosomal RNA
Source: RNAcentral